Molecule: small RNA, 1256 nt
Filed under: Histoplasma ohiense
Lineage: Eukaryota; Fungi; Ascomycota; Eurotiomycetes; Onygenales; Ajellomycetaceae
Description: hypothetical lncRNA
Source: RNAcentral
ACAUGCAUACUUCACACUACUCUUAUAAUUAUAUCUACAAUCAUCUCUUACAAUUCUAAUCACUCUAAACUUUAUUUGAGUGGUCCAUUGUUACACACAUCUACAAUAAAGCAUGCAAUAUUAGUUAAAAUAUGCAAUAUUAGUUAAAACAUGCAAGAUGAUCUCAACACACACAAAAUCCCUUGAGAAUCAAUCUGAAUUCUCUACUGCCUUCAAUGAUCACAAUGUGUGUUUGCAACAGUUGAAUGAUCAAAUCUGUGAAUGAGAGCAGCAAUUAGCUAUUCUGCAUGCACAACAGUGACUCAAUAAAUUGAAAGUGCAGAUUCAUGAAAAUACUUUCAUUGAAUCUCAAUUAACUCAGAAUAUCAUCACAGAAUCACUGCAAAAUUAAUCUGUGAAUGAUACAGAUAAUGAUAAUGAAACAUCACUGAAAUUGAAGAUUAAGAACUAUUAUCAAGAAAAAAAUAUGUUAGAAUUCAAGAACUAUAAAGAUUGUAUAUUGACUUUUUUUACAUAUCACUACUGAUAUUAUUGAAAAAAAGAAUACAAGAUAAAUGAUGUUAAACUCUAUCUUGACACUCAUAUUAAGCAGAAAUGAUUGAAUUUUGUAUCAUUGUAUAAGAGAUGUGAAGAAGCAAUACUGUUGACUUUUAAUGAUAUACUAUCACAUCUAGAGAUGCAAAUUAACAAUCCACAGAACCAGCACUGAUUGACAAAUCAAAAGUUUCAAAAUACAAAACAACAAAAAUAGCAAUUGAUAUAUGAUUUCUCUAAAUAUCUUGAAGACUGAGAAUACUACUUACCCUCAUAUAGCAAAGAACAAAGAAUGGAUAACUUGUAUAGUAAGAUGUUGAAGAUAUUACACACAGAAUUUGACUAUUGAAAUCAAAAGCCUCAGAACUAUGAAGAGUUGCUUUGAACUCUACAGACUCUCAAGAAAAAUAUAUCAGAGUAAUGAUGUGCUAUUCACAAAGAAAGAUCUGUGAUAUUUGUAGAGAAUCAGCAUCAUUCUGAUAAAUCUAGCAACUGUUGAAACAAGAGAAAAUGAGAGAAAUAAAUGAGUUCAACUGAAUAAAUCAAGAAAGAUAAAUAUAACUGAAUGAAGAAAUAUUCUCAUUGUCAUAAGAAGAAUCAUAUUACAAAUGAUUGUUGAAUGUUACACUCUGAAAAAUGCAAUCAAGUUUGAUAAGCAAAAAAUCAAUAAUUUCAAUUGUAGAAGCAGCUACUGCAUUGAGAAUAUGAACAACUAGACUGUG